UGUGUAGGCAAAUCCGCACACUAAUACCUUGAGCUGUGAUGGGGAGGGAAAAUUACAGUACCGAAGGUUCCGUGCUCACGCUGCCGAGAAAAGCCUCUAGCCAGGAGAAGGUGCCCGUACCGCAAACCGACACAGGUAGGCGAGAAGAGAAUUCUAAGGCGCGCGGAAGAACUCUCGUUAAGGAACUCGGCAAAAUGACCCCGUAACUUCGGGAGAAGGGGUGCCUCGGUAGGGUGAAUAGCCCGAGGGGGCCGCAGUGAAUAGGCCCAAGCGACUGUUUAGCAAAAACACAGGUCUGUGCGAAGCCGUAAGGCGAAGUAUACGGGCUGACGCCUGCCCGGUGCUGGAAGGUUAAGGGGAGCGGUUAGGGGCAACCCGAAGCUGUGAACCGAAGCCCCAGUAAACGGCGGCCGUAACUAUAACGGUCCUAAGGUAGCGAAAUUCCUUGUCAGGUAAAUUCUGACCCGCACGAAUGGCGUAACGACUUGGGCGCUGUCUCAACGAGAGAUCCGGUGAAAUUUUAGUACCUGUGAAGAUGCAGGUUACCCGCGACGUGACGGAAAGACCCCAUGGAGCUUUACUGUAGCUUGAUAUUGAACUUGGGUACGGUCUGUACAGGAUAGGUGGGAGCCUAAGAAGUUGGAGCGCAAGCUUCAAUGGAGGCGCCGUUGGGAUACCACCCUGAUCGUAUCUAGGUUCUAACCUGUCACCGUGAAUCCGGUGAAGGGACCGUGUCAGGCGGACAGUUUGACUGGGGCGGUCGCCUCCUAAAGCGUAACGGAGGCGCCCCAAGGUUCCCUCAGAAUGGUUGGAAAUCAUUCGAAGAGUGCAAAGGCAUAAGGGAGCUUGACUGCGAGACCUACAAGUCGAGCAGGGACGAAAGUCGGGCUUAGUGAUCCGGUGGUACCGAAUGGAAGGGCCAUCGCUCAACGGAUAAAAGCUACCCUGGGGAUAACAGGCUUAUCUCCCCCAAGAGUCCACAUCGACGGGGAGGUUUGGCACCUCGAUGUCGGCUCAUCGCAUCCUGGGGCUGAAGUAGGUCCCAAGGGUUGGGCUGUUCGCCCAUUAAAGCGGUACGCGAGCUGGGUUCAGAACGUCGUGAGACAGUUCGGUCCCUAUCUGUCGCGGGCGUAGGAAAUUUGAGAGGGGCUGUCCUUAGUACGAGAGGACCGGGAUGGACGCACCGCUGGUGUACCAGUUGUUCCGCCAGGAGCAUCGCUGGGUAGCCAAGUGCGGGAGGGAUAAGCGCUGAAAGCAUCUAAGCGCGAAGCCCGCCUCAAGAUGAGAUUUCCCAAUUAGUAAGACCCCUUGGAGAACACGAGGUUGAUAGGCUCGGGGUGGAAGCGCAGCAAUGCGUGCAGCUGACGAGUACUAAUCGGUCGAGGGCUUAUCCUA
RNAcentral lists this ribosomal RNA (1395 nucleotides) under Cohnella hashimotonis. RNAcentral's name for it is "partial 23S ribosomal RNA". It matches the Rfam family "Bacterial large subunit ribosomal RNA", at positions 1529 to 2925 of the family's 2925-position model. The record is from RNAcentral. Lineage: Bacteria; Bacillati; Bacillota; Bacilli; Caryophanales; Paenibacillaceae.